Myotis lucifugus (little brown bat) is the source of this 76-nucleotide microRNA precursor. It matches the Rfam family "mir-9229 microRNA precursor family". The record is from Rfam. NCBI's taxonomy places the organism in Eukaryota, Metazoa, Chordata, Mammalia, Chiroptera, Vespertilionidae.
GAGACACCCUUCUGGGGCAAGACUUGCUUCAGUGGGCCUUUGGUGCUCACUGAGUCUGCCCCCUGAGUGUGUCCCU